RNAcentral lists this ribosomal RNA (253 nucleotides) under uncultured bacterium. RNAcentral describes it as "partial 16S ribosomal RNA". It matches the Rfam family "Bacterial small subunit ribosomal RNA", at positions 524 to 776 of the family's 1533-position model. The record is from RNAcentral.
UACGUAGGGUGCAAGCGUUGUCCGGAAUUAUUGGGCGUAAAGAGCUCGUAGGCGGUCUGUCGCGUCUGCUGUGAAAACUCGGGGCUUAACCCCGGGCCUGCAGUGGGUACGGGCAGACUAGAGUGCGGUAGGGGAGACUGGAAUUCCUGGUGUAGCGGUGAAAUGCGCAGAUAUCAGGAGGAACACCGGUGGCGAAGGCGGGUCUCUGGGCCGUAACUGACGCUGAGACGCGAAAGCGUGGGGAGCAGACAGG